This 1416-nucleotide long non-coding RNA is filed under the name Anser brachyrhynchus (Pink-footed goose). Its description in RNAcentral is "lncRNA (ENSABRG00000013406.1)". The record is from RNAcentral. Lineage: Eukaryota; Metazoa; Chordata; Aves; Anseriformes; Anatidae.
UUGUAUGUGUGUUUGUGUGCGUGUGUGCAGUUGUACAGAAAAAACAGGAAUGCCCCAAAUUUACACAAGAUGCAAAUAUGGAUGAAUGUCUGAUUUUCAUGAUGUAAACUGGUAAAAUAUGUGAGGAGAAAGGAGAGGUUGGUAAAUGAAAUUGAACCUGACUUUUUGAUUGAAAAAUGCUGUAUUUCCCUCAUUUCCCUGCUGUUCCUUUCUCAGGCAGCAGCUCAGAUUUGACAGCCACAAUUAUGAAAUCGGCAUACCAAAGGCAAUCUUUUUGUUUCAAAGAGUUUUCUGAUAAAAUGGUUCUUCAAAAUGGGCUUGGAUUUAACUCUCCAUAUCUACCUCUUGCCUCCUGUAUUUUGGAAGGUUUGAAAACCACUGCCAGAAGAGUUCUGCCAGUGAUGAGGGUAAUCUGAGACUGAGGAGAACAUCAAGACUAUUUCCUACUCCCUGAUGGCUACUGGCAUCGUCAGGCAGGCUUUUAUAUAAAAGAAGCCAUCACUUGUGUCAGAGACAGUGCUUUGUAACAGGCAGUCACAGCCAACAUAAAAGGUACAUUAAUAUCUUGGAAGGAAUGACCAGCUUUCAGAAAUGAAGCCCAUGAAGCUCCGUGGGACACCAAAGAUUUGUCCAAGCCUCCCUAAAGCUACAUCAACAGAUCCCACUGAGUCUUGUCUGAGCACAAUACACAGAUUUUAAGCCUCAGCUUCUUGUUCCCUGCUACUAGAAAACUAGUGAGCAAGGCUAGUACUGUCUGACAAACUAAAAAUGAAAAGACCCUUUGCAAAAUUAAAAUGUUAAAUUUGUAAUUGGUAAUAUAGGGACCAAAAAUUAUAGUUGAAGUUCUGUAUUAACUCAGAUAUAAGAUAUAAACAGAUGACUCUGUGUCCAAUCAAAAUGAUUACACACCAUCUGAAUUUUAAAUUGAUUCCUAUUAACCUGAGACGAUUUUAUGGGAAUUUUUAAUAUAAAAGUAUUCUCAGCAGAAUUUGAAUAAUGAUAAUCAAUAGUCACAAGUUUUGACAAUUCUUACCCAGGAAAGUGCCUCAAUGUAUUAAACGGUCUAUUCUAUAAAACUUAUUUGCUUAGUUUGAUUGUGAAGAAGAGUAAAUAUUUUGGUUGUGCUGAGAGCUGUCGAACAGAAAUGAAAGAUGGAAAAGACAUGUUAGGUCACCUUGAGGCCAAAUUCACAGCUUCUGAAAGCUGGUAUAAUUCCAUUGACGUCAAUUCCUGUUCUUUUCACUUGGAUCUGUGGAUACGCAGCACCCCUGAAGUCCCUGACACCAUGUAUUCAAUUUGUUCCAUUUAUUUCACCACAAUUUUGAGUGCAGAGUCUUUUUGGCUGACUAAUAUGCUGAUGUAUUGGCUAAUGUGAAAAUAUAUGUUUUCUCGUUCCUGUACUACUGUACCUUUGCA